AGUGUAGGCGGUUACUUAAGUCGGAUGUGAAAUCCCCGGGCUCAACCUGGGAAUUGCAUUCGAUACUGGGUAGCUAGAGUUUGGUAGAGGUAAGUGGAAUUCCGGGUGUAGCGGUGAAAUGCGUAGAUAUCCGGAGGAACAUCGGUGGCGAAGGCGGCUUACUGGACCAAAACUGACGCUGAGGCUCGAAAGCGUGGGGAGCAAACAGGAUUAGAUACCCUGGUAGUCC
RNAcentral lists this ribosomal RNA (229 nucleotides) under uncultured bacterium. Its description in RNAcentral is "partial 16S ribosomal RNA". It matches the Rfam family "Bacterial small subunit ribosomal RNA", at positions 568 to 796 of the family's 1533-position model. The record is from RNAcentral.